GUCCCAGAGCUUCAGGAUAAAUUUAAUGUGGAUGAGUACUCUGAUUUAGUAACCCUCACCAAACCAGUAAUCUACAUUUCCAUUGGUGAAAUCAUCAACACCCACACUCUCCUGUUGGAUCACCAGGAUGCCAUUGCUCCGGAGCACAAUGAUCCAAUCCACGAGCUGCUGGACGACCUCGGCGAGGUGCCCACCAUCGAGUCCCUGAUAGGUAAAGUUCUAACUUUUGCCUGGAAGAUCAAAAGGGAAUGUGACAGAAAAGUGUUGUAAUUGUCACCUCCUCUGUUUUUUGCACUAUACCAAACUCUGGAUAUACAUUGAGAAAUAAAAUAGAUGUGAUCCUGAUAGUUUCAUAAGAGACAAAACAAAAACAACAACAACAAAAGCCCAGAUGUGAUCACUAUCUAUAAGGAACUGGAGUCAGAGGAAAAGAUCAUUUUAAAUGCAGAUACAUACUGCCAGCUUGUGUUUUUUUUUUUAAAAUUGCAGAUACAUAAAUUAAAAGUCCUCUAAAGGAAAGAAUUUUUUUGUUUGUUUGUUAUGAGACAGGGUCUCCCUCUGUUGCCCAGGCUGAAGUACAGUGGUGCAGUCAUAGCUCACUGCAGCCUCAAAAUCCUAGGCUCAAGCGAUCCUCCUGAGU
RNAcentral lists this small RNA (640 nucleotides) under Pongo abelii (Sumatran orangutan). RNAcentral describes it as "retained intron". The record is from RNAcentral. Lineage: Eukaryota; Metazoa; Chordata; Mammalia; Primates; Hominidae.